This 449-nucleotide ribosomal RNA is filed under the name uncultured bacterium. Its description in RNAcentral is "partial 16S ribosomal RNA". It matches the Rfam family "Bacterial small subunit ribosomal RNA", at positions 355 to 812 of the family's 1533-position model. The record is from RNAcentral.
UGGGGAAUAUUGCACAAUGGGCGAAAGCCUGAUGCAGCAACGCCGCGUGAGGGACGACGGCCUUCGGGUUGUAAACCUCUUUUAGCAAGGAAGAAGCGAAAGUGACGGUACUUGCAGAAAAAAGCGCCGGCUAACUACGUGCCAGCAGCCGCGGUAAUACGUAGGGCGCAAGCGUUAUCCGGAAUUAUUGGGCGUAAAGAGCUCGUAGGCGGUUUGUCGCGUCUGCUGUGAAAGCCCGAGGCUCAACCUCGGGCCUGCAGUGGGUACGGGCAGACUAGAGUGCGGUAGGGGAGAUUGGAACUCCUGGUGUAGCGGUGGAAUGCGCAGAUAUCAGGAAGAACACCGAUGGCGAAGGCAGAUCUCUGGGCCGUAACUGACGCUGAGGAGCGAAAGGGUGGGGAGCAAACAGGCUUAGAUACCCUGGUAGUCCACCGACUGUGAAACGAUGU